UUCAUGGAGAGUUUGAUCCUGGCUCAGGACGAACGCUGGCGGCGUGCCUAAUACAUGCAAGUCGAGCGGACAGAUGGGAGCUUGCUCCCUGAUGUUAGCGGCGGACGGGUGAGUAACACGUGGGUAA
Molecule: ribosomal RNA, 127 nt
Filed under: Bacillus paralicheniformis
Lineage: Bacteria; Bacillati; Bacillota; Bacilli; Caryophanales; Bacillaceae
Also listed under: 1 other name
Description: partial 16S ribosomal RNA
Rfam family: Bacterial small subunit ribosomal RNA
Source: RNAcentral